Molecule: ribosomal RNA, 136 nt
Filed under: uncultured bacterium
Lineage: Bacteria
Description: partial 16S ribosomal RNA
Rfam family: Bacterial small subunit ribosomal RNA
Source: RNAcentral
UGGGGAAUAUUGCACAAUGGGGGGAACCCUGAUGCAGCGACGCCGCGUGAGCGAUGAAGUAUUUCGGUAUGUAAAGCUCUAUCAGCAGGGAAGAAAAUGACGGUACCUGACUAAGAAGCCCGGCUAACUACGUGCC